This 250-nucleotide ribosomal RNA is filed under the name uncultured bacterium. Its description in RNAcentral is "partial 16S ribosomal RNA". It matches the Rfam family "Bacterial small subunit ribosomal RNA", at positions 524 to 773 of the family's 1533-position model. The record is from RNAcentral.
UACGGAGGGUCCAAGCGUUAUCCGGAAUCAUUGGGUUUAAAGGGUCCGUAGGCGGCCUUAUAAGUCAGUGGUGAAAUCUCCUAGCUCAACUAGGAAACUGCCAUUGAUACUGUAGGGCUUGAAUUUUUGUGAAGUAACUAGAAUAUGUAGUGUAGCGGUGAAAUGCUUAGAUAUUACAUGGAAUACCAAUUGCGAAGGCAGGUUACUAACAAACGAUUGACGCUGAUGGACGAAAGCGUGGGGAGCGAAC